ACUUAGGUAGUUUAAUAUAAGACUUUGAUUUGUGGUGUCAAUGAUGUGGGUUUUCUCACCUUAGGUC
RNAcentral lists this transfer RNA (67 nucleotides) under Sweltsa longistyla. RNAcentral describes it as "tRNA-His". It matches the Rfam family "tRNA". Rfam says of the family: Transfer RNA (tRNA) molecules are approximately 80 nucleotides in length. Their secondary structure includes four short double-helical elements and three loops (D, anti-codon, and T loops). The record is from RNAcentral. Lineage: Eukaryota; Metazoa; Arthropoda; Insecta; Plecoptera; Chloroperlidae.